Molecule: ribosomal RNA, 422 nt
Filed under: uncultured bacterium
Lineage: Bacteria
Description: bacterial SSU rRNA
Rfam family: Bacterial small subunit ribosomal RNA
Source: RNAcentral
UGAGGAAUAUUGGGCAAUGCCCGCAAGGGUGACCCAGCAACGCCGCGUGGAGGAUGAAUGUCGUAAGAUUGUAAACUCCUGUUAGAGGGGAAGAAUAGUACCGGUUGGACCGGUAUAUGACUGUACCCUCAGAGAAAGCCCCGGCUAACUACGUGCCAGCAGCCGCGGUAAUACGUAGGGGGCAAGCGUUGUCCGGAUUUACUGGGUGUAAAGGGCGCGCAGGCGGGAUAAAAAGUCAGUGGUGAAAUCCUACAGCUUAACUCAGAACGGCCAAGUGAUACUGCUGUGCUAGAGUGCGGAAGAGGCAACCGGAAUUCUUGGUGUAGCGGUGAAAUGCGUAGAUAUCAAGAGGAACACCUGAGGCGAAGGCGGGUUGCUGGGCCGACACUGACGCUGAUGCGCGAAAGCCAGGGGAGCAAACG